GAGUCUGUGCAGAGCGGACAGGGAGGGAACCAAGAAAAACUCCGAGUGUGUCCGUUUGUGUCCCGUUAACGAGCCGAUUCUACCGGAAUAAUAAACCCGCGAACACUUUGAUCAGAGCCGCCACAGCACGAGGAGGAGAGGACGCACGCGCUCAGAGAGAACAACCAUCAGAUCAUCCUAACCCUGACGCUCUACAUCAGGUGUUUGAGGGUGUAGUUGCAGAGCAGCAAUCAUGGUGGCGCUAUCGCUGAAGAUCGGCGUGGGGAACGUGGUUAAGACGAUGCAGUUUGAACCUUCCACCAUGGUUUACGACGCCUGCAGGAUCAUCAGGGAGAGAGUCCCCGAGGCCCAGCUGGGACAGCCCAAUGACUACGGUCUGUUUCUGUCUGAUGAAGAUCCAAAGAAAGGGAUCUGGUUAGAGGCUGGGAAAGCUCUGGACUACUACAUGCUGAGGAACGGAGACACUCUGGAGUACAAGAAGAAACAGAGACCUCUGAAGAUCAGGAUGUUGGACGGAACAGUUAAGACCGUCAUGGUGGACGAUUCCAAGAUUGUCAGUGACAUGCUAAUGACCAUCUGUGCCCGGAUAGGUAUCACUAACUAUGACGAGUACUCGUUGGUGCGUGACGUGGGUGAGGAGAAGAAGGAGGAGAUGACGGGCACGCUGAAGAGAGACAAAACUCUGCUGAGAGACGACAAGAAGAUGGAGAAGCUGAAGCAGAAGCUGCACACGGAUGACGAGUUGAACUGGUUGGACCAUGGGCGGACGCUGAGGGAGCAGGGCGUGGAGGAGACCGAGAUGCUGCUGCUCAGGAGGAAGUUCUUCUACUCCGACCAAAACGUAGACUCCAGAGACCCGGUGCAGCUCAACCUGCUCUACGUACAGGCUCGUGAUGACAUCCUGAACGGCUCUCACCCGGUUUCCUUCGAUAAGGCGUGUGAGUUUGCAGGUUAUCAGUGUCAGAUCCAGUUCGGUGACCACAACGAAUCCAAGCACAAGGCCGGUUUCUUAGAUCUGAAGGAGUUUCUGCCCAAAGAGUACAUCAAGAAUAAAGGAGAGAGGAAGAUCUUCCAGGCUCAUAAAAACUCUCAGAACAUGACGGAGAUUGAAGCUAAAGUUAGCUACGUGAAGCUAGCUCGCUCUCUGCAAACAUACGGAGUUUCUUUCUUCCUGGUCAAGGAGAAGAUGAAGGGUAAGAACAAACUGGUUCCUCGCCUCCUCGGCAUCACUAAGGAGUGUGUGAUGCGAGUGGACGAGAAGACGAAGGAGGUGAUCCAGGAGUGGAACCUGACCAACAUCAAACGCUGGGCCGCCUCGCCCAAGAGCUUCACACUGGACUUUGGAGACUAUCAGGACGGUUAUUAUUCAGUUCAGACAACAGAAGGAGAACAGAUCGCUCAGCUGAUCGCCGGAUACAUCGACAUCAUCCUCAAAAAGAAAAAGAGUAAGGAUCAUUUUGGUCUGGAAGGAGACGAGGAGUCGACGAUGCUUGAAGAUUCUGUGUCUCCUAAAAAGUCGACGGUGUUACAGCAGCAGUUUAACCGGGUGGGGAAGGUGGAGACGGGUUCUGUGGCUCUGCCCGCCAUCAUGAGGUCUGGAGCCGGAGGUCCAGAGAGCUUCCAGAUGGGAUCCAUGCCACAGGCCAAACAACACAUCACGAGUGGACAGAUGCACCGAGGACACAUGCCCCCCCUGACGUCGGCCCAGCAGGCUCUCACUGGAACCAUUAACUCCAGUAUGAACGCCGUUCAGGCGGCUCAGGCGUCUCUGGACGACUUCGACACCCUGCCCCCGCUGGGAACAGAUGCCGCUUCUCAAGCGUGGCGUAAAAACAAGAUGGACGAGUCCAAACAUGAGAUCCACUCUCAGGUGGACGCCAUCACAGCAGGCACCGCCUCCAUGGUCAAUCUCACUGCAGGUGACCCUGCAGAGACGGACUACACGGCGGUGGGCUGUGCCGUCACGACCAUCUCGUCUAACCUGACUGAGAUGUCAAAGGGCGUGAAGCUGUUGGCCGCUCUGAUGGACGAUGAAGGAGGAAACGGUCAGCAGCUGCUCGGCGCCGCCAAGAACCUGGCGUGUGCUGUUUCUGACAUGUUAAAGACGGCACAGCCCGCCAACACUGAGCCUCGUCAGAUCCUGCUGCAGGCUGCAGGAAACGUGGGUCAGGCAAGCGGAGAGCUGCUGUCUCACAUCGGAGAGACCGACACUGACCCUCAGUUCCAGUUUGUAGGUAGAGGAUCAGUCAGAGGGAACAGGUGGGGAGUCAGCUCCAACUCUCACAUGACGGACAUGCUAAUGCAGCUAGCUAAAGCAGUGGCUAACGCGGCGGCGGCGCUGGUGCUGAAGGCGAAGAACGUGGCUCAGAAGAGCGAAGACUCCGCCCAGCAGAACAGAGUCAUCGCUGCAGCCACUCAGUGUGCUCUGUCCACGUCUCAGCUGGUCGCCUGCACUCGGGUGGUCGCUCCCACCAUCAGCUCGCCGGUGUGUCAGGAGCAGCUCAUUGAAGCGGGGAAGCUCGUGGCUAAAUCAGUGGAAGGCUGUGUGGAGGCGUCCCAGGGAGCAACCAAUGAUGAGGGGCUCCUGAAGCAGGUGGGCGUGGCCGCCACAGGUGUGACUCAUGCGCUGAACGAGCUGCUGCAGCACAUAAAACAGUACGCCAGCGGCGGACAUCCGAUCGGACGACAUGGAGAAGCCACAGACCGAAUCUUAGACGUCACCGAGAAUAUCUUCAGCUCCAUGGGAGACGCAGGUGAAAUGGUGCGUCAGGCUCGUAUCCUCGCCCAGGCUACUUCUGAUCUGGUCAACGCCAUCAAGAUGGACGCUGAAGGAGAGUCUGACCUGGAGAACUCCAGGAAGCUGCUGUCAGCUGCCAAACUGCUCGCCGACGCAACGGCCAAGAUGGUGGAGGCCGCAAAGGGAGCUGCAGCGAACCCUGAUAGUGAGGAGCAGCAGCAGAAGCUGAGAGAAGCAGCUGAAGGUCUCCGUAUGGCCACCAACGCCGCCGCCCAGAACGCCAUCAAAAAACGACUUGUGAACAAGCUGGAGAACGCAGCCAAACAGGCGGCAGCAGCAGCGACUCAGACGAUCGCUGCAGCUCAACAAGCAGCUUCAUCCACAAAGAACCAGGCAGCACAGCAACAGCUGGUGCAGAGCUGCAAGGUGGUGGCGGAGCAGAUCCCUCAGCUGGUCCAGGGCGUCAGAGGCAGUCAGUCUCAGCCUGACAGUCCCAGUGCUCAGCUCGCUCUCAUCAGCGCCUCACAGAACUUCUUGCAGCCUGGAGCUAAAAUGGUCACGGCCUCUAAGGCCACUGUUCCCACCAUCGGUGACCAGGCUUCAGCCAUGCAGCUCAGUCAGUGUGCUAAGAACCUGGCCGGCGCUCUGGCUGAGCUCCGCACUGCCGCACAGAAGGCUCAGGAGGCUUGCGGCCCGUUGGAGAUCGAUAACGCUCUGUCGACAGUCAGAGAUCUGGAGAGAGACCUGCAGGACGCCAAAGCUUCAGCUGAGGAGGGAAAACUGAAACCACUUCCUGGAGAGACGAUGGAGAGGUGCUCUCAGGAUUUGGGUUCGAGCACUAAAGCUGUGAGCUCGGCCGUCGCUCAGCUGCUGAGUGAGGUCACGCAGGGCAACGAGAACUACACAGGUAUGGCAGCUCGAGACGUGGCUCAGGCUCUGAAGUCGUUGGCGUCGGCAGCUAGAGGGGUCGCCGCUAAUACGGACGACUCUCCGGCUCGGACCGCCAUGUUGGACUGCGCCCGAGACGUCAUGGACAAAUCAGCCAAUCUGAUCGAAGAGACUAAGAGAGCCGUUGCCAAACCAGGAGACGCCGAGAGUCAGCAGAGACUCGCUCAGGUGGCUAAAGCGGUGUCUCAGGCUCUCAACAGGUGUGUGAACUGCCUGCCCGGUCAGAGAGACGUGGACAACGCCAUCAGGACGGUGGGCGAGGCCAGUAAGACUCUGCUCUCUGACUCUUUCCCGUCCAGUGGGCGGAGCUUCCAGGAGGUCCAGGCUCAGCUUAACGAGGUUGCAGCCGGUCUGAACCAAUCAGCUAACGAGGUGGUCCAGGCCUCCAGAGCGACCACACAGGACCUCGCCAGGGCGACCAGCAAGUUCGGGAACGACUUCAGCAACUUCCUGGAGGCGGGAAAAGACAUGGCGGGAACAUCACAGUCUAAGGAGGACCAGACUCAGGUGGUCUCUAACCUGAAGACCAUCUCCAUGUCAUCCAGUAAACUGCUGCUGGCUGCUAAAGCUCUGUCCACUGACCCCGCCUCCCCCAACCUCAAGAACCAGCUCGCUGCUGCAGCCAGGGCAGUGACAGACAGCAUCAAUCAGCUGAUCACGAUGUGCACUCAGCAGGCUCCGGGUCAGAAGGAGUGUGACAACGCUCUGAGGGAGCUUGAGUCGGUGAGAGGGAUGCUGGAGAACCCGACGGAGGCGGUAAACGAGUUGUCGUACUUUGACUGCAUCGACAGUGUGAUGGAGAACUCAAAGGUGUUGGGUGAGUCCAUGGCAGGUAUCUCCCAUCAUGCCAAGAACUCCAACCUGCCGGAGUUUGGAGACUCUGUGAGCGGCGGCUCGAAGGCGCUGUGUGGUCUGACUGAAGCUGCUGCUCAGGCCGCCUACCUGGUGGGCGUGUCCGACCCUAACAGCUCGGCAGGUCAGAAGGGCCUGGUUGACCCGGCUCAGUUCGCCCGGGCAAAUCAGUCCAUCCAGAUGGCGUGUCAGAACCUGGUGGACCCGUCCUGCACACAGUCCCAGGUGCUGUCUGCUGCCACCAUCGUAGCCAAACACACCUCCGCUCUGUGUAACGCCUGCCGCCUCGCCUCCUCCAAGACACCAAACCCUGUUGCUAAGAGACAGUUCGUCCAAUCAGCCAAAGAGGUCGCCAACACCACCGCCAACCUGGUCAAGUCCAUCAAGGCUCUGGACGGGGCCUUUAACCAGGAGAACAGGGAGAAGUGUCGAGCAGCGACUGGUCCUCUGAUUGAAGCUGUUGAUAAUCUUACUGCCUUCGCCUCAAAUCCGGAGUUCUCGAGCAUCCCGGCUCAGAUCAGCCCCGAGGGCCAUGCUGCCAUGGAGCCCAUCGUCAUGGCAGCCAGGACAAUGCUGGAGAGCUCGACUGGUCUGAUCCAGACCGCCCGCUCACUGGCGGUCAACCCUAAAGACCCGCCCAAAUGGUCGGUGCUGGCGGGACACUCCAGGACGGUUUCUGACUCCAUCAAGAAGCUCAUCACCAACAUGAGAGAGAAAGCUCCAGGUCAGAGGGAGUGUGAUGAUGCUAUAGAGGUUUUGAACGGCUGCAUCAGAGAGGUUGACCAGGCUUCACUGGCUGCUAUUAGCCAGCAGCUAACACCCCGAGAGGACAUCUCUAUGGAGACGCUCCACGAGAAGAUGGCGGCGUCCGUCCAUGAGAUCAGUAACCUGAUUGAUCCUGUUGCUGUGGCUGCUGGAUCAGAGGCGUCCCAGCUGGGACACAAGGUGUCUCAGAUGGCGAGUUACUUCGAGCCCCUCAUCAUGGCCGCCAUCGGCACAGCCUCAAAGAUCCUGAGCAGCCAGCAGCAGAUGGCGGUCUUAGACCAGACAAAGACCCUGACGGAGUCCGCUCUGCAGAUGCUCUACACCGCCAAGGAGGCGGGAGGAAACCCCAAGGCGGCUCACAUGCAGGAGGCUCUGGAGGAGUCGGUGCAGAUGAUGAAGGAGGCGGUGGAUGAUCUCGGGGCGACGCUGGCUGAAGCAGCGAGCGCAGCGGGGGCAGUGGGAGGCAUGGUGCACUCUAUCAACGACGCCAUCAAUAAGAUGGAGGACUCACCUGGUCUGGAACCUGAAGGCACCUUCGUGGACUAUCAGACCACCAUGGUGAAGACAGCCAAGGCCAUCGCCGUCACCGUGCAGGAGAUGGUGACCAAAUCAAACACCAACCCUGACGACCUCGGAGGAUUGGCCAACCAUCUGACCAACGAGUUUGGAAAUCUGGCUGACGAGGCCAAAUAUGCCGCCAUGACAGCCGAGAACGAUGAGAUCGGCUCUCACAUCAAGAAGCAGGUGGGCGAGCUGGGAUUCAGCUGCACCGGCCUCGUCACUAAAGCUGGAGCUCUGCAGUGCAGCCCCAACGACUCGUUCACCAAGAAGGAGCUGAUCGAGAGCGCCCGCAAAGUCUCCGAGAAGGUGUCUCAUGUGCUGGCGUCCCUGCAGGCCGGUAACCGUGGCACUCAGGCCUGCAUCACUGCCGCCAGUGCCGUAUCGGGUAUCAUCGCAGACCUCGACACCACCAUCAUGUUCGCCACAGCCGGGACUCUGAACCGAGAGAACGCCGAGACCUUCGCCGACCACAGGGAGCUCAUAUUGAAGACAGCUAAAGCUCUGGUGGAGGACACCAAGCUGCUGGUUUCUGGAGCCGGAGCGAGUCAGGAGAAACUGGCCCAGGCUGCCCAGUCGUCAGUCUGCACCAUCACCAAACUGGCUGAUGUGGUCAAACUGGGAGCUGCCAGUCUGGGAUCAGAGGACCCAGAGACUCAGGUGGUUCUGAUCAAUGCAGUGAAGGACGUGGCUAAGGCUCUGGGGAAUCUGAUCAGCUCGACCAAAGCUGCUGCAGGAAAACCUCAUGAUGACCCGAGCAUGCUACAACUGAAGAGCUCUGCCAAGGUGAUGGUGACCAACGUGACGUCUCUCCUGAAGACGGUGAAGGCCGUCGAGGACGAAGCCACGAAGGGAACGCGCGCUCUGGAGGCGACGAUCGAACACAUCAAGCAGGAGCUGACUGUGUUCAGCAGCUCAGAACCUCCUCCAAAAACAACCACACCUGAGGAGUUCAUCCGCACCACCAAAGGCAUCACCAUGGCAACGGCCAAAGCAGUGGCUGCUGGGAACUCAUGUCGCCAGGAAGACAUCAUCGCCACAGCCAACCUGAGCCGCAGAGCCAUCGCCGACAUGCUGCACUCCUGCAAGGAGGCAGCGUAUCAUCCAGAGGUCAGUAAGGACGUUCAGAUGAGAGCUCUGCGUUAUGGAAACGAGUGUGCUACAGGAUACCUGGGACUGCUGGAGCACGUGCUGGUGAUCAUCCAGAAGCCGUCUCACGACCUAAAGCAGCAGCUCGCCAAUUACUCCAAACGAGUGGCAGGCUCCGUGACCGAGCUGAUCCAGGCCGCCGAGGCCAUGAAAGGCACAGAGUGGGUGGACCCUGAGGACCCCACAGUGAUCGCUGAGAACGAGCUGCUCGGAGCGGCUGCAGCCAUUGAAGCAGCUGCCAAGAAAUUGGAGCAGCUGAGACCCCGAACCAAACCCAAGGAGGCCGAUGAGACGUUGAACUUUGAGGAGCAGAUCCUUGAAGCAGCGAAGUCGAUCGCAGCAGCAACCAGCGCUCUGGUUAAAGCUGCUUCAGCCGCUCAGAGGGAGCUGGUGGCUCAGGGGAAGGUGGGGGCAAUCCAGGCCAAUGCGGUAGAUGAUGGUCAGUGGUCUCAGGGUCUCAUCUCCGCUGCUCGGAUGGUUGCUGCGGCAACUAACAACCUGUGUGAGGCGGCUAACUCUGCGGUGCAGGGACACGCCAGCGAGGAGAAACUCAUCUCCUCUGCCAAACAGGUCGCCGCCUCCACCGCCCAGCUGCUGGUCGCCUGUAAGGUCAAAGCGGACCAGGACUCACAGACCAUGAAGAGACUACAGGCUGCAGGUAACGCGGUGAAGCGAGCGUCUGAUAAUCUGGUGAAAGCAGCUCAGAAAGCAGCGUUUGACGCUCAGGACGACCAGGCGGUGGUGGUGAAGAGUAAGAUGGUGGGAGGCAUCGCACAGGUGAGUCACAGCACAGGUACAGAUGAGUCACAGGUACAGAUGAGUCGCAGGUACAGAUGAGUCACAGGUACAGAUGAGUCAGAGCACAGGUACAGAUGAGUCACAGGAACAGAUGAGUCACAGGUACAGAUGAGUCACAGGAACAGAUGAGUCACAGGUACAGCUGAGUCAGAGUACAGAUAUAGAUGAGUCACAGGUACAGCUGAGUCACAGGUACAGCUGAGUCAGAGUACAGAUACAGAUGAGUCACAGAUACAGGUACAGAUGAGUCAGAGCAUAGGUACAGAUGAGUCACAGGUACAGAUGAGUCACAGGUACAGAUGAGUCACAGGUACAGGUACAGAUGAGUCACAGGAAUAGAUGAGUCACAGGAACAGAUGAGUCACAGGAACAGAUAAGUCACAGGUACAGAUGAGUCAGAGUACAGAUACAGAUGAGUCAGAGCACAGGUACAGAUGAGUCACAGGUACAGGUACAGAUGAGUCACAGGUACAGAUGAG
Molecule: RNA transcript, 8286 nt
Organism: Labrus mixtus (cuckoo wrasse)
Lineage: Eukaryota; Metazoa; Chordata; Actinopteri; Labriformes; Labridae
Gene: tln1
Gene name: talin 1
Exons: 59
Source: RefSeq, a predicted model, not a curated record